AUAAUGGUGUCAUUAGACACCAUAUUUGUCUUCAAAAAAAAAAAU
Non-coding RNA from Picea glauca (white spruce), 45 nucleotides. The record is from Rfam. Lineage: Eukaryota; Viridiplantae; Streptophyta; Pinopsida; Pinales; Pinaceae.